UGGUGAUUUUCACAGCAUCUGGAUGGC
RNAcentral lists this non-coding RNA (27 nucleotides) under Homo sapiens (human). The record is from RNAcentral. Lineage: Eukaryota; Metazoa; Chordata; Mammalia; Primates; Hominidae.